Molecule: non-coding RNA, 63 nt
Organism: Canis lupus familiaris (dog)
Lineage: Eukaryota; Metazoa; Chordata; Mammalia; Carnivora; Canidae
Source: Rfam
GCCAGAAGAUGACGACGUGUGCAGAAACCCCCCUGUGGGCUGCCCGCGUCCGAGCCCCCUGGC